Molecule: ribosomal RNA, 507 nt
Filed under: uncultured bacterium
Lineage: Bacteria
Description: bacterial SSU rRNA
Rfam family: Bacterial small subunit ribosomal RNA
Source: RNAcentral
AUUGAACGCUGGCGGCGUGCCUAACACAUGCAAGUCGAGCGGUAACAGGUGUAGCAAUACAUGCUGACGAGCGGCGAACGGGUGAGUAAUGCUUUGGAAUCUUCCCAGUAGUGGGGAAUAACCAGUCGAAAGAUUGGCUAAUACCGCAUACGUCUGUAAAGGGAAAGCGGGGGACUCGCCUCUUCUUCGGAAGAGAGGCCUCGCGCUAUUGGAUGAGCCAAAGCGGAUUAGCUAGUUGGUGGGGUAAUGGCCUACCAAGGCGACAAUCCGUAGCUGGUCUGAGAGGACGACCAGCCACACCGGAACUGAGACACGGUCCGGACUCCUACGGGAGGCAGCAGUGGGGAAUAUUGGACAAUGGGGGAAACCCUGAUCCAGCGACGCCGCGUGUGUGAAGAAGGCCUGCGGGUUGUAAAGCACUUUUAGUGGGGACAAAAAGCUACGGAUUAAUACUCUGUGGUCUUGAUUUAACCUACAGAAAAAGCACCGGCUAACUCUGUGACAGCA